This 79-nucleotide transfer RNA is filed under the name Salmonella enterica subsp. enterica. RNAcentral describes it as "tRNA-Arg". The record is from RNAcentral. Lineage: Bacteria; Pseudomonadati; Pseudomonadota; Gammaproteobacteria; Enterobacterales; Enterobacteriaceae.
GCAUCCCGUAGCUCGGCGGAUAGGGGAGUACUCGGCUACGAACCGAGCGGUCAGGUUCGAAUCACUCCCGGAUGCACCA